AACGAACGCUGGCGGCAUGCCUAACACAUGCAAGUCGAACGAGACCUUCGGGUCUAGUGGCGCACGGGUGCGUAACGCGUGGGAACCUGCCCUUUGGUUCGGAAUAACUCCCCGAAAGGGGUGCUAAUACCGGAUAAUGUCUUCGGACCAAAGAUUUAUCGCCUUUGGAUGGGCCCGCGUUGGAUUAGCUAGUUGGUAGGGUAAAAGCCUACCAAGGCGACGAUCCAUAGCUGGUCUGAGAGGAUGAUCGGCCACACUGGGACUGAGACACGGCCCAGACUCCUACGGGAGGCAGCAGUGGGGAAUAUUGGACAAUGGGCGAAAGCCUGAUCCAGCAAUGCCGCGUGAGUGAUGAAGGCCUUAGGGUUGUAAAGCUCUUUUACCCGGGAUGAUAAUGACAGUACCGGGAGAAUAAGCUCCGGCUAACUCCGUG
This 433-nucleotide ribosomal RNA is filed under the name uncultured bacterium. RNAcentral describes it as "partial 16S ribosomal RNA". It matches the Rfam family "Bacterial small subunit ribosomal RNA", at positions 29 to 507 of the family's 1533-position model. The record is from RNAcentral.